GACGAACGCUGGCGGCGUGCUUAACACAUGCAAGUCGAACGAUGAAGCUGGAGCUUGCUCCGGUGGAUUAGUGGCGAACGGGUGAGUAACACGUGAGAAAUCUGCCCUUGACUCUGGGAUAACUGCGGGAAACUGUAGCUAAUACCGGAUACUUUCCCUGGUGGGCAUCCACUGGGGAAGAAAGAAUUUCGGUCAAGGAUGAUCUCGCGGCCUAUCAGCUAGUUGGUGAGGUAAUGGCUCACCAAGGCGACGACGGGUAGCCGGCCUGAGAGGGUGACCGGCCACACUGGGACUGAGACACGGCCCAGACUCCUACGGGAGGCAGCAGUGGGGAAUAUUGCACAAUGGGCGCAAGCCUGAUGCAGCAACGCCGCGUGAGGGAUGAAGGCCUUCGGGUUGUAAACCUCUUUUAGCAGGGAAGAAGCGAAAGUGACGGUACCUGCAGAAAAAGCACCGGCUAACUACGUGCCAGCAGCCGCCGUAA
Molecule: ribosomal RNA, 484 nt
Filed under: uncultured bacterium
Lineage: Bacteria
Description: partial 16S ribosomal RNA
Rfam family: Bacterial small subunit ribosomal RNA
Source: RNAcentral